This 72-nucleotide transfer RNA is filed under the name Candidatus Levyibacteriota bacterium. Its description in RNAcentral is "tRNA-Pro". It matches the Rfam family "tRNA". Rfam says of the family: Transfer RNA (tRNA) molecules are approximately 80 nucleotides in length. Their secondary structure includes four short double-helical elements and three loops (D, anti-codon, and T loops). The record is from RNAcentral. Lineage: Bacteria; Candidatus Levyibacteriota.
CGGGGUGUAAUUCAUCGGUAGAAUGCUCGGUUCGGGACCGAGAUGCACAGGGUUCAAUUCCCUGCACCCCGA